GCCGUAAGAUUCUAUAAUUACUACUCUAAGUGAUCAUUUGUGGACACGGGCCAAACUCGAAUACCAUUUUUAUCAAAGAAGAGAACUAAAUGAAAAGUUCAGAAAUGUUUUAAGAUGGCGAAGUGACAGUAACAUUUAAAAAAAAAAAACAUGUGUAGUGGAAAGUUUAGUUCAUGUCCACUAAAGAUUUUAAAAUGCUUUCAACUAUCCUUGUGGUCUAAACAGUCAAGAAAAUGGCUAGAUUUUUUUUCCUACUGUGUACUUACACAGUUUCUAAGAACUGACUGGAUAGUGUAACUCACGAAAAUUUUUAAAAGAUUAACUGAGAAACCCAAGUAGCCAUGGGGCAAGUUCGCAUUACACUUUAUUAAGAUCAUGUGCUUUGCCUCGGAGCAUCUGAGAGAACCAUCCCAUCAGAUCCAACUCCUUUAGUUUCUCACGUUUUGGCCUUUAAGAUGCGGAGAUCACGGGAGGCCGCAUCAAAAGGAAGGAUUACACAUCAAAGGUAAAACUUUCAAAGAACUCGCCAAGUAUUUCAUAGCAGGCCACUUGGACCACUUUCAUCAUUUUCUGUAGAUCUUUAUAUUCUUGACACAACAACAUCCUAUUUUGGCCGAUGUUAAAAUCGAGGACUCCCAGAGCCUCUCCUGUUCUCUCACGAAGUGGAACUACUAUAUGCGUUUCUCCACAGGCAGAAGCCAGAACAACUUCUGAACUGUCAGUACAUUUAAAGAGGAAAUCUCUGAAAUCAAAACCAAAUAAGCACAAGGAUAUUAAACAUCUGUCUGUUCACAUCA
Pan troglodytes (chimpanzee) is the source of this 797-nucleotide long non-coding RNA. RefSeq lists it as uncharacterized. The transcript has 2 exons. The record is from RefSeq and is a predicted model, not a curated record. NCBI's taxonomy places the organism in Eukaryota, Metazoa, Chordata, Mammalia, Primates, Hominidae.